CCCGUUGGGCAAAACACAAAACUCGCAAGACCCGCAACUACUACAUCUGAACCCCGGCUACUGCUAUCACACAAGGCGCCGUCACAACCUCGCUCUCCUCCGCUCGCUCUGGCCUUGGCGCAGAUGGUGGGAACGCUGAUUCCGGCCAUGGAAGGCGGCUGAAACCUUGCCCUCGACUCACGCUCAUCCAUGGUGGAGCAAGAGGUGGCAGGAGAGGACAGGGACCAUGAAGCCUGCAAGUCCAAGAUCCAAGCGUCGACUUUUGUGGGAUUGGGGCGCCAGAUCUCGGCUUCUGCCUCUAAAUAUGGGCAACGGCGGCGGCCGGGGAGGGGGCAAUCGGUGGCUUUUCGGCGGCAGCGGAGUCGUCCAGCAUAGUAAGGAUAAGGAAGAACUCGAGGCUUACCGCGAAUCCACGAACUGAUCCUCCAUGGCGGGCGCCCGAUCUGUGCCAACACCCCGCUCUGGAUUAGAAGAUUUAGUAUGGUUUUGCGGAAGGACAGAUGAGGUGAGCACGAGAGUUGACGAGGACGAAUGACAGAUUCUGAAGAAAAAGCUCACCUUUGCACUAGUGAUAUAUAAUAUUGUUUGUUUAUAUAUACAUGUAUGUGCAUCAUUUUUGUUAUGAGCGAGAUAAGUUUGCACUAGUGAUGACAGCAUGCAGUUGCUAGCAAGAUCUAGCAGGUGCAGAGUCAAGUACUAGCAUUAGCAGUAGAACCAGCAGCAUAGUAAAGGCAUUAUUUGUCAAUCUUCUGACGUACUGAAAUGCCGCAUGAAACUCUUGAAUAUGUAUUAAGACUCUUGAAUAUAACAUUUAUCGCCUCCUUAUUAUGGUUGAAUGGUUCA
Sorghum bicolor (sorghum) is the source of this 843-nucleotide long non-coding RNA. RefSeq lists it as uncharacterized. The record is from RefSeq and is a predicted model, not a curated record. Lineage: Eukaryota; Viridiplantae; Streptophyta; Magnoliopsida; Poales; Poaceae. The transcript is spliced from 2 exons.